AUUGAACGCUGGCGGCAGGCUUAACACAUGCAAGUCGAACGGUAACAGGAAGAGAGCUUGCUUUCUUUGCUGACGAGUGGCGGACGGGUGAGUAAUGCUUGGGAAUCUGCCUUAUGGAGGGGGAUAACUACGGGAAACUGUAGCUAAUACCGCGUAAUAUCUUCGGAUUAAAGUGUGGGACCUUCGGGCCACAUGCCAUAAGAUGAGCCCAAGUGAGAUUAGGUAGUUGGUGAGGUAAAGGCUCACCAAGCUGACGAUCUCUAGCUGGUUUGAGAGGAUGACCAGCCACACUGGAACUGAGACACGGUCCAGACUCCUACGGGAGGCAGCAGUGGGGAAUAUUGCACAAUGGGCGCAAGCCUGAUGCAGCCAUGCCGCGUGAAUGAAGAAGGCUUUCGGGUUGUAAAGUUCUUUCAGCGAUGAGGAAGGUGCAUUAUCUAAUAGGUGAUGUAAUUGACGUUAGUCGCAGAAGAAGCACCGGCUAACUCCGUGCCAGCAGCCGCGGUAAUACGGAGGGUGCGAGCGUUAAUCGGAAUAACUGGGCGUAAAGGGCACGCAGGCGGUUGUCUAAGUCAGAUGUGAAAGCCCCGAGCUUAACUUGGGAAUUGCAUUUGAGACUGGGCGACUAGAGUCCUCUAGGGAGGGGUAGAAUUCCACGUGUAGCGGUGAAAUGCGUAGAGAUGUGGAGGAAUACCGAAGGCGAAGGCGGCCCCUUGGAGAGAGACUGACGCUGAGGUGCGAAAGCGUGGGUAGCAAACAGG
This 761-nucleotide ribosomal RNA is filed under the name uncultured bacterium. Its description in RNAcentral is "bacterial SSU rRNA". It matches the Rfam family "Bacterial small subunit ribosomal RNA", at positions 28 to 776 of the family's 1533-position model. The record is from RNAcentral.